RNAcentral lists this ribosomal RNA (253 nucleotides) under uncultured bacterium. RNAcentral's name for it is "partial 16S ribosomal RNA". It matches the Rfam family "Bacterial small subunit ribosomal RNA", at positions 524 to 776 of the family's 1533-position model. The record is from RNAcentral.
UACGUAGGGGGCUAGCGUUGUCCGGAAUCAUUGGGCGUAAAGCGCACGUAGGCGGCUUAGCAAGUCGGAAGUGAAAUCCCACGGCUCAACCAUGGAAGUGCUUUCGAAACUGCUGAGCUUGAGUACUUAAGAGGAUCGCGGAAUUCCCGGUGUAGAGGUGAAAUUCGUAGAUAUCGGGAGGAACACCAGUGGCGAAGGCGGCGAUCUGGGAAGAUACUGACGCUGAGGUGCGAAAGCGUGGGGAGCAAACAGG